GAUUAAGAACGUAGCGAAAUGCGAUAAGUAAUGUGAAUUGCAGAAUUCAGUGAAUCAUCGAAUCUUUGAACGCAUCUUGCGCUCCCUGGUAUUCCGAGGAGCAUGCCUGUUUGAGUGUCAUCUAAAUCCUCAAACCACAUUGAUUCUUUCGGUGUGGCUUUGGAAGUGGGGGUAGUGUUUGCAGGUUUUAUCUUAAGUCUGCUCCCCUGAAAUGCAUUAGUGGUAUCUGAGCAGAAGGAACUACUACAGGUGUGAUAAUUUAUCUAUGCCUUAGUAUACUGCAUAAAACAGAUUACACUGCUUAUAACAAACUUUUUUUCUUGUUUUUGGAGACCUCAAAUCAGGUAGGACUACCCGCUGAACUUAAGCAUAUCAAUAAGCGGAGGA
RNAcentral lists this unclassified non-coding RNA (387 nucleotides) under soil metagenome. Its description in RNAcentral is "partial contains 5.8S ribosomal RNA, internal transcribed spacer 2, and large subunit ribosomal RNA". The stretch from base 1 to 120 matches the Rfam family "5.8S ribosomal RNA", at positions 35 to 154 of the family's 154-position model. The record is from RNAcentral.